CCUACGGGUGGCAGCAGUCGAGAAUCAUUCACAAUGGGGGAAACCCUGAUGGUGCGACGCCGCGUGGGGGAAUGAAGGUCUUCGGAUUGUAAACCCCUGUCAUGUGGGAGCAAAUUAAAAAGAUAGUACCACAAGAGGAAGCGACGGCUAACUCUAUACCAGCAGCCGCGGUAAUACAGAGGUCUCAAGCGUUGUUCGGAAUCACUGGGCGUAAGGCGUGCGUAGGCUGUUUCGUAAGUCGUGUGUGAAAGGCGCGGGCUCAACCCGCGGACGGCACAUGAUACUGCGAGACUAGAGUAAUGGAGGGGGAACCGGAAUUCUCGGUGUAGCAGUGAAAUGCGUAGAUAUCGAGAGGAACACUCGUGGCGAAGGCGGGUUCCUGGACAUUAACUGACGCUGAGGCACGAAGGCCAGGGGAGCGAAAGGGAUUAGAUACCCGAGUAGUC
This 446-nucleotide ribosomal RNA is filed under the name uncultured bacterium. Its description in RNAcentral is "partial 16S ribosomal RNA". It matches the Rfam family "Bacterial small subunit ribosomal RNA", at positions 338 to 795 of the family's 1533-position model. The record is from RNAcentral.